Transfer RNA from Homo sapiens (human), 84 nucleotides. It matches the Rfam family "tRNA". From Rfam's summary of the family: Transfer RNA (tRNA) molecules are approximately 80 nucleotides in length. Their secondary structure includes four short double-helical elements and three loops (D, anti-codon, and T loops). Further hydrogen bonds mediate the characteristic L-shaped molecular structure. tRNAs have two regions of fundamental functional importance: the anti-codon, which is responsible for specific mRNA codon recognition, and the 3' end, to which the tRNAs corresponding amino acid is attached (by aminoacyl-tRNA synthetases). tRNAs cope with the degeneracy of the genetic code in two manners: having more than one tRNA (with a specific anti-codon) for a particular amino acid; and 'wobble' base-pairing, i.e. permitting non-standard base-pairing at the 3rd anti-codon position. NCBI's taxonomy places the organism in Eukaryota, Metazoa, Chordata, Mammalia, Primates, Hominidae. The record is from Rfam.
ACCAGGAUGGCCAAGUAGUUAAAGGCACUGGACUUAAGAGCCAAUGGACAUAUGUCUGUGUGGGUUUGAACCCCACUCCUGGUG